UAUCAUAGAAUCCUAGAAUAUCAGGGUUGGAAGGGACCUCAGGAAGUCAUCUAGUCCAACCCCCUGCUCAAAGCAGGACCAAUCCCCAACUAAAUCAUCCAAAUUAGAUGGUAGAUGGGGGCACAUUUAAAUAUCACAGACCUGAUCCUGCUAUUACUGAAGCUUUGUUUCUUUGCUGUUCCCCAGCAGGUGCUGCUAAAUACUUUAUCUCCUUUGGGUUUGAAGAUACCACUUGUGUAAUGAGAGGAGAUCCAAUUACAGGGUUAUCCAAUUUACCUUCCCAAAAGGUCCUUGCUGAGUUAGACCGUCUCCUGUGCUGUCCAGCUGUUGCUCGCGAAAUAAGGAGGAGCUACAUUUCAAAAUUCACUUAAAAGCAAUAUCAAAAAACCCGGAAAGGCUUUGAUCUUUCUAAAUAUUCCCUUUGUUCUGUCAUUCGGCAAUUCCUGUGUGCUUCAAAGGUAAGGUAACAAUCCACUCUCUGUACUCUUCCCUGAACUGUGGUCAUAAACUCACCCCUGAAAUACAGUUUAAAUAACCCAGAGCCCUACAACCUUCAAAUCAAGUAAUGAAGAUCUUUCCACUGUUCAUUUUGUUAGAUUAAUAAAAGGCUACAAUUUUUCUCAA
Molecule: non-coding RNA, 624 nt
Organism: Caretta caretta (loggerhead turtle)
Lineage: Eukaryota; Metazoa; Chordata; Testudines; Cheloniidae
Source: RefSeq, a predicted model, not a curated record